CAGCUGUAAACGAUGCAGACUAGGUGUUUGGACGGCCACGUGCCGUUCUAGUGCCGCAGGGAAGCUGUUAAGUCUGCCGCCUGGGGAGUACGAUCGCAAGAUUGAAACUUAAAGGAAUUGGCGGGGGAGCACCACAAGGGGUGAAGCUUGCGGUUUAAUUGGAGUCAACGCCGGAAAUCUCACCGGGAGCGACAGCAGAAUGAUGGCCAGGUUGAUGACCUUGCUUGACAAGCUGAGAGGAGGUGCAUGGCGUCAGUGACU
RNAcentral lists this ribosomal RNA (261 nucleotides) under uncultured archaeon. RNAcentral's name for it is "partial 16S ribosomal RNA". It matches the Rfam family "Archaeal small subunit ribosomal RNA", at positions 748 to 1008 of the family's 1478-position model. The record is from RNAcentral.